AUGAAAAUCAGCCCCAGGCAUCCCGCAUAGGUUAGCCCGCGAUGAUUGAGCAUACCUGAUAGAUCAGCUGGAGAAACAGGGAACAGCGAAAAUUCAUGAUCACGAAGGAACGUCGAAAUACGACAGCUGACUCAAGGUACGUGGACCAGUACGCGAGGUUGAACAGAGCGAAUACUAGGGGGAAGGUGAUCCGAGAGAUGACGUCGAUGCGCUUGGACCUCGUCGGGAACUUGGACAGCCACGACCUGCAGCAGUUUUUUGGCGGCGACUGCAUGUGUAUCUCGCACUGCCGCAUCUUAUCCAACGACAUCGCAUCCUCCUGGUGUCUUACCAGAGGCUUCUGAAAAAAAUGACAAAGAAGUACUAGGAACUUCUUGAAAAUUAUUUUCAAAAAAUAAUACCAAGACACAGAUUUCAUACAGAAAGGACACUGACCAUAGCGAAAUUCGUCGUUCCAUCCGGCUCGAUCAGCUCAGCAGCUGGCUCGACAGAUGCCGAGGGCUCUAUUUCACGAUAUUUCUUCUUCAUAUUCUCACGAUGCAUGUCGCUACGCGAUGCGUAGUUGACCAAUGCAAACUCCAGAAGUGCGCCAAAGACGAACGUCAAACACACCCCCGUCCAUACGUCAAUGGCCUUUGUGUAGGAGACUGGUGGCAGUGAAGCGUUUAUUCCAGAAGUCUGUGUGGCCAUUGUCAAUAGCGUAGUCACUCCUAUAAAAGAAAAAACACAUAUAGAGAAACUCGAGCUGGUACUGCACUCUGAUCUAGCCAGAAGGACACCCAGGAUACGAUGACCAGCAUGCAGCAGGGGAUGUAGAUCUGAAUGAGAUAAUAACUGAACUCUCUUUUGAAGAGUAGAUCUACCUUGAGACAACUGUACUCGCCUGAGAAUAAUCUGUUAGAAAUCUCUCGAGCGUAAAUCUGGGUAGGUGUAAGUUCUUGACAACCUGGACGGGGUCACCCUCUUUCCAGAGGAAAACCAGGUCGUCGGUCGUCCAUCCGUCUGAAAAGUUCAGAGGUCACGUUACUCGUGAGAUAAUUGAGUUCAGUUGAUCCGAUAUCAUUUCAACAUGAGAAAAUAUUAAUCCACUUACAGCUGGCCAUUCGCAGUGAACAAGUUUGUCGAUCCAGGGGAUAAAGUUUCAGAUCCAUCGGACACGAGAGAUAAACCAUACCGUAUGCUGUAGAGAACAGAACCGUGAGGGAAGAUACGUAUGUAUACGUUUGGCAUAAUGAUUUCGUGAAAAUGACCUUCCUUCUCAUUGGCAAAGAAAAGAUCAGGCAUCCAUACUCGACUUGCUUCUGUUAACUGUUUCAGAGAGAUCUGUAUUUAUGCUUUGAAUGACAGUGACGUAUACCAACCUCCGAAGUCAUUGAACCGUAAUCUCUCGUCCACCCAUUGUUCCCGGAAUGUCAAUUGCACGGAAUAUUCCUGCGGGUAAAAAAAAUCCGGUUAAGCGGACAAAGGAUGAUAUUUAAUUUUUCAAAAUUGCAGGCACUGCUUGAAAAUUGUUUUAUUUCAACAAAAAACAAGGGAGGGAUUUUAUGCGCUUAAAGAUGCGCCUUUUAUGUAUAUUUACAUAUGCCGACGGAUUUUUCGAGUCUUUCUCAAUAAUUAUGUGCGAACGCCGAAAUUUUAUAAAAUAUGAAUAUUUAUUUUUUUUCAAAUUCAAACUUGGAUUAUCUAUAUACGAGAAAUUCGGAUUAAACGAUGGAAACAUAUUUAUAGACAGAUUUCGUUAAAUCUCAUGUAGCAAACAGAGAGCCGUACAAGCUUAUCAGAAUGUACACUUGCGUAAUUUGUUUAUAUACGAAUUUUCCAAUUUGUACAGAUAUGCGAUUUUUAUAUUAUUUUAUAUCGAAGCUACAGUAAUGGAAGCAUAAAAUCAUUACGAUUGUACAAUUGUAUAUACAAUGUCUUACAGCAAAAUUAGAUCUCUGCAAUGUAUAUACAUUGCUAAGCAACAACGUCAUUAUCUUCUAAAGCCUAUUAAACGUACAUUAAUUAAGCAUUUAAGUAAUUUUUCAUUGAACUGUUAUACGUUUACCCGAAAAUCAAUUUUUCAAAUUUAUACAGCUAUUACUCAAGAUAGAAAAACCUUCCGUGUACAAUAUCGGCCCGAAAAUUCCUCAAGAACAAUAUACUUAUAGAACGGGGAGUGAGAAAAUGCAAACCAAAAAUAGUAAUAUCUCUCACAUUCGGCAAUAAUAAAAUACACAGGGGACGAGUACAGUCAAAAAAAAAAUAGAAAAUCUUGAUAAAGAUAAGAUUUAAAAUAGUAUAAAUAAAAUUAUCGAAUUGACAAUCAAUAUAAUGACUCAAAAGAAAUUACGAGUUCUUGAUUAAUAGAGGAUUUCAAACACGAUCGUUAAUCGUGUUAUACGUUAAUUUCACGGUCCGUUCAACCAAACGGCUAAGUGUGACUAGCCGUUAAAUUAACGUUUCCGAAGGAUCGAUCCUUUUUUAGAGGGGAGAAGGGGAUCACCAUUGACUUUAACACGACCAAUCGUCACAGACGUAAUUCCAAUAGCAUCUUGUCUUAAUGACAGUUACUGACAAUUAAAACAAGUCAAUGGUUAUCCCCAUAGUGUAAAUACACGUGAUACCUGAUAAUCGAUCAUUUCUGUCCGACCCACUACAGGUAUCACGUUACGAAUGUUUGUAUAUGAUGAUACAGGAAAAAAAAGUAUCAUGCAAAAGCGACAUUGACUGAACUACUUUGAAGCGACUAUAGCGAUUUAUAUAUGUAUGUAUAUAGCUGCCAAAAUAAAUACAUAUAUAUAUAUA
Cephus cinctus (wheat stem sawfly) is the source of this 2787-nucleotide long non-coding RNA. RefSeq lists it as uncharacterized. The record is from RefSeq and is a predicted model, not a curated record. The transcript has 7 exons. NCBI's taxonomy places the organism in Eukaryota, Metazoa, Arthropoda, Insecta, Hymenoptera, Cephidae.